Molecule: long non-coding RNA, 347 nt
Organism: Oreochromis niloticus (Nile tilapia)
Lineage: Eukaryota; Metazoa; Chordata; Actinopteri; Cichliformes; Cichlidae
Exons: 3
Source: RefSeq, a predicted model, not a curated record
CUCCAAUGGUUUGUGUGCUCCUUCUCUGUGAUGAUCAUUGUCUUUUGCAAAGGUGGUCAUUCACAGGGGUCUGAUGUGGACAUCAGAUUAGCUGGAUCGAGUCGAUGCUCUGGCAGAGUGGAAAUCUUUUACAAUAACAUCUGGGGAACAGUCUGUGAUGUUGGCUGGGAUGAAAAUGAUGCUGAGGUCGUUUGCAGACAGUUAAACUGUGGGACUGCCCAAAAGGCUCCUCAAUCAGCUCACUUUGGUGCCGGAACUGGGCAUAUUUGGCUAAAGCAUGUGACCUGUUCAGGAAGGGAAAGUUCUCUAACUGAGUGUCAAUACAAUGUAUUUGGAGCAAACAGCUG